GAUGAAGAACGCAGCGAAAUGCGAUACGUAAUGUGAAUUGCAGAAUUCAGUGAAUCAUCGAGUCUUUGAACGCACAUUGCGCCCCCUGGUAUUCCGGGGGGCAUGCCUGUCCGAGCGUCAUUGCUGCCCUCAAGCACGGCUUGUGUGUUGGGCCUCCGUCCUCCUCCCGGGGGACGGGCCCGAAAGGCAGCGGCGGCACCGCGUCCGGUCCUCGAGCGUAUGGGGCUUCGUCACCCGCUCUUGUAGGCCCGGCCGGCGCUUGCCGACACAUCAAUCUUUUUUCCAGGUUGACCUCGGAUCAGGUAGGGAUACCUGCUGAACUUAAGCAUAUCAAUAAGCGGAGGA
This 345-nucleotide unclassified non-coding RNA is filed under the name soil metagenome. RNAcentral describes it as "partial contains 5.8S ribosomal RNA, internal transcribed spacer 2, and large subunit ribosomal RNA". The stretch from base 1 to 120 matches the Rfam family "5.8S ribosomal RNA", at positions 35 to 154 of the family's 154-position model. The record is from RNAcentral.